AUUGAACGCUGGCGGCAUGCCUUACACAUGCAAGUCGAACGGCAGCACGGGAGCUUGCUCCUGGUGGCGAGUGGCGAACGGGUGAGUAAUGCAUCGGAACGUGCCCUGAAGUGGGGGAUAACGUAGCGAAAGUUACGCUAAUACCGCAUAUUCUGUGAGCAGGAAAGCAGGGGAUCUUCGGACCUUGCGCUUUUGGAGCGGCCGAUGUCGGAUUAGCUAGUUGGUGGGUAAAGGCCCACCAAGGCGACGAUCCGUAGCGGGUCUGAGAGGAUGAUCCGCCACACUGGAACUGAGACACGGUCCAGACUCCUACGGGAGGCAGCAGUGGGGAAUUUUGGACAAUGGGCGCAAGCCUGAUCCAGCCAUGCCGCGUGAGUGAAGAAGGCCUCGGGUUGUAAGACUCUUCGUGGGAGAA
RNAcentral lists this ribosomal RNA (415 nucleotides) under uncultured bacterium. RNAcentral describes it as "bacterial SSU rRNA". It matches the Rfam family "Bacterial small subunit ribosomal RNA", at positions 30 to 445 of the family's 1533-position model. The record is from RNAcentral.